Molecule: long non-coding RNA, 864 nt
Organism: Equus quagga
Lineage: Eukaryota; Metazoa; Chordata; Mammalia; Perissodactyla; Equidae
Exons: 3
Source: RefSeq, a predicted model, not a curated record
GUUUGAGCUACCUUGGCCAGAAACAGCAACUGGGCCCAAUCUGCCGCUGUGUCCGCAGGAAACUUCACAAAGGUUUACGUAUGGAAAGCAUGUGGGGCCAUGUCCAUCUCGGCUGUGGGGACAGGAAUUCUCAGGGAGACAGGCAAAGAUGUAAAUAACUCCUAAGCUCGCAUGCUAGGUGCUAUAGAACGUCCAAGAAGAAUACAAGUGUGAUCCUGACUGAGCUAUCAUUUCUUCACCCAGAAGACUAACUUGGGGAAAGCAUCGCCCUGAGCUAACAUCUGUUGCCAAUCUUCUUUUUUAUUUCCUCCCCAAAGCCCCAGUGCCUGGUUGUAUGUUCUGGUUGUAAGUCAUUUCAGUUCUAUGUGAGCUGUCACCACAUUGUGGCAUCUGACAGACGGGUGGUGUGUUUCUGCAACUGGGAAACGAACGCUGGCCGCCAAGGCGGUGAGCAUUCAAAUUUAACCACUAGGCCAUCAGGACUGGCCCCAUAAAGCCUUUUUAACAAGACCCAAAGUACAGUUGGCGCACCUCUUCUCUGAACUCCUACACAGGCUGUAAGCAAUCAAUUCAGCACCAAGUUAUAUAAGAUUUCUAUUGUUACAUUAUAGUAAUAAUGAAAUGAAAGCUUCCAUUUAUCCAGUGUGUACUAUGUGCCAGCCAGUCUGUUUUAUGCUUUCCAUACGUUGCCACAAAUAUUCCCAGGAGCUCCGUGAUGCUGGUGUCAAUAUACCCAUUGUACAGAUUAAGAAAUUGAAACUCAUGGAUGUCAAGUACCUUGCCCCAAACCAGACAGUUAGUAAGACCCUGUGAAUCCAAGUCUGUAUGCCUCCAAAGUUCUUUCAAAUGCAUCAUUUUAUAUCA